RNAcentral lists this ribosomal RNA (834 nucleotides) under Triticum aestivum (bread wheat). RNAcentral describes it as "partial small subunit ribosomal RNA". The record is from RNAcentral. Lineage: Eukaryota; Viridiplantae; Streptophyta; Magnoliopsida; Poales; Poaceae.
AUGCUAGGACAACCUGUUAAUUUUAUUUGCUGGAAUGUAAGGGGCCUUAACUGCCCGGAUCGUCGUGCUACCGUUCAUGAAACUAUUGCUGCCACUUCGUGUCAUUUGGCUUGUCUCCAGGAGACCAAACUUGCUGCCAUGGAGCAGUUUACCGCUGCCUUUCUUGGGGGAGCUAGGCUCAAGAGUUUUGCCCAGCGGCCGGCUGUGGGAACUAGAGGAGGCAUUUUGCUUCUUUGGGAUGACGAGGCUGUGCAGGUCUCAGAUGUUGUUGCUGCUACCUUCUGCCUUUCCGCUACUGUCUUAGUCCGUGCCACCAACAUUUCCUUCAAGCUCACGGCCGUUUAUGGCCCCACGGCCUCCUCUCUGAAGAACGAUUUUUUCUCCGAACUUCUUGCUCAAAAGCCGUCGUCGGGUACGAAGUGGCUGGUUCUAGGCGACUUUAACCAAAUAUACAGGGCUCGGGACAAGAACAAGCGAAACAUCAACCGUAGCCGUAUCAACCGAUUUCGCAACACUCUCCAUGAGUGUGAGCUCAACGAGAUACACCUCCAGAACAGAAGGUUCACUUGGAGCGACGAACGUGCCAACCCUACCCUUUGCAAGCUUGACUCCUUUUUCUGCAAUACAGACUGGGACCUCAGUUUCAGUUCUCACGUCCUUCAUGCGCUCUCCUCGUCGCUAUCCGAUCAUUGUCCUCUCCUCCUUGCGGAUGACAGUGGCCCUCGGCGGCCCCGCUCCUUCAAAUUUGAGAAUUUUUGGGUCUCCAUGCCGGGCUUCAUGAAUGUUGUCAGUAACGCAUGGCAUGAGGAUUGCAACCACGCUGAAUCUUCAUGA